UUUAGUGGCGGACGGGUGAGUAACACGUGAGCAACCUGCCUUCGAGAGGGGAAUAACGGCUGGAAACGGUCGCUAAUACCGCAUAACAUACAGGAGGGACAUCCCUUUUGUAUCAAAGAUUUAUCGCUCGAAGAUGGGCUCGCGUCCGAUUAGGUAGUUGGUGAGGUAAUGGCCCACCAAGCCGACGAUCGGUAGCCGGACUGAGAGGUUGAACGGCCACAUUGGGACUGAGACACGGCCCAGACUCCUACGGAAGGCAGCAG
Molecule: ribosomal RNA, 263 nt
Filed under: uncultured bacterium
Lineage: Bacteria
Description: partial 16S ribosomal RNA
Rfam family: Bacterial small subunit ribosomal RNA
Source: RNAcentral